This 484-nucleotide ribosomal RNA is filed under the name uncultured bacterium. RNAcentral's name for it is "partial 16S ribosomal RNA". It matches the Rfam family "Bacterial small subunit ribosomal RNA", at positions 30 to 507 of the family's 1533-position model. The record is from RNAcentral.
AUUGAACGCUGGCGGCAGGCCUAACACAUGCAAGUCGAGCGGAGGAAGGGAGCUUGCUCCUGGAUUCAGCGGCGGACGGGUGAGUAAUGCCUAGGAAUCUGCCUGGUAGUGGGGGAUAACGUCCGGAAACGGGCGCUAAUACCGCAUACGUCCUGAGGGAGAAAGUGGGGGAUCUUCGGACCUCACGCUAUCAGAUGAGCCUAGGUCGGAUUAGCUAGUUGGUGGGGUAAAGGCCUACCAAGGCGACGAUCCGUAACUGGUCUGAGAGGAUGAUCAGUCACACUGGAACUGAGACACGGUCCAGACCCCUACGGGAGGCAGCAGUGGGGAAUAUUGGACAAUGGGCGAAAGCCUGAUCCAGCCAUGCCGCGUGUGUGAAGAAGGUCUUCGGAUUGUAAAGCACUUUAAGUUGGGAGGAAGGGCAGUAAGUUAAUACCUUGCUGUUUUGACGUUACCAACAGAAUAAGCACCGGCUAACUUCGUG